This 9072-nucleotide long non-coding RNA is filed under the name Taeniopygia guttata (zebra finch). Its description in RNAcentral is "lncRNA (ENSTGUG00000028541.1)". The record is from RNAcentral. Lineage: Eukaryota; Metazoa; Chordata; Aves; Passeriformes; Estrildidae.
CAUGUCCCCAGUGACACACUUUUAAUGCAGAACAUAAAAAUAUACAAUAAAAAUAUUUAUGCAAAAGUUGAAGAAUGGGCUGUGAGCUUUCAGCUGUUUUCAAUGGGAUAAGCAAUUUUUCAUAUGCUUUGGCAAAUUUUAGCCUCAUUAAAAGAACAAGUAGGUAACUACUGAUAGUAUAUGUGGAUAAAUUAGAGCAAUAAUCUAGUCAUCUAUCCCAAACCCAUCCAGAAAUUUAUGAGGACUUUGAUGAGGUGCAGAUGGGGCCCUUACAACAGAGACAAUAAUGAGGCCAGAGGACUCAGGAUUAGAAUUUCGCAUGUCCUAUGAAAUUUUGUGUUGUUUAGUUGCAGUAAGAGGCAUGCAGAAUGGUAGAAAAACACAUCACCCCUUGCACGUCACUCUUACAUACUCUUAAUGACUUGUUUAAUCCUCUGUGCUCUGCUGUCACAUUUUUUUCUUUCACCUCCUGCAAACUGACUCUCUUUGUCUGGCUCCACUUGUCAUUUCAGUCAAAAUAACCCCGUUCAGUGCAACAGGCUGGGCACAGAGUGGCUGAAAAACUGCCCAGCAGAAAAGGGCCUGGGGGCACUGGUUGACAGCACUGAACAUGAGCCAGAGUGUGCCCAAGUGGCCAAGCAGGCCAAUGGCACCUGGCCUGUAUCAGCAAGAAUGUGGCCAGCAGGACCAGGGCAGUGCUUGUCCCUCUGUACUUGGCACUCAUGAGGCCACACCUCAAAUCCUGUGUUGAGUUCUGGGCCCCUCACUAUAGGAAAGACAUUAAGGUUCUGGAGAGACUCCAGAGAACGGCAAGUGGAGCUGGGGAUGUUUAGCCUGGAAAAGUGGAGCUUGGAGCACAAGUCUAAUGAGGAACAGCUGAGGGAGCUGGGGAUUUUUAGCCUGGAAAAAAGGAGACUCGGGGGUGAACUUAUCACCCCCUCCAACCACCUGAAAGGAGAUUGUAGCCAGGUGGGUGUCAGUUUCUUCUCCCAGGCAACCAGUGGAAAUGCCUCAAGUUGUACCAGGAGAGGUUCCCUUUGGAUAUCAGGAAGAAUUCUUCCACUGAAAGGGGGGUUAAACAUUGGAAAUGCUGCCCAUGGAGGUGGAGGUCACCCAUCACACUGUCUUAAAACCUGCUUACAUCACUUCCACGGGUGAUCACUUUCUGCUAUCCUUGAUGGUCAAGGCCUGAUUGGUUCCCUGUGAUUAUAUAAAAUAGGAUGCAGAGCAGUUAAAUAAAACAACGAAACUAACUGAAAAGGCCAUCCUUUUCUAAGUACAGUGUUAUACCUUUCUGACUCACAUUCUAGCUUCUUCCCAUUGCCCUCCUCUCAAGAGGAAAAAUCCAUGCUGGAUCCCAAAAUCUGGGCAUUGUCUGACAUUUUCAUAUCAGAAAACUUUAGCAGUAACUGCUCCUGCUCCCUGAUGUUUGAUCCCAGCACCCCCACACUCAUCAAGAUACAGGAGGCUCAGUACCUUGGAGGCCAGAAUGGUAACAAACACAAAUCCCUGCUGAGAACGCAGGAGAUGUGAGUCAGCAUGAGCAAGACCCAGAUUACUGUGAACAACACCCCAGCUGAGCAAUAGCAACUUAAUCAUAGUCAGAGAGUCAGUAUUGUGCACUUACUGAAAUAAUCAACAUCUCAUUUUUCAGGAUCCAUAGGAAUACUGUGCCAUUUAAUAGUUUGCAUUCUGGCUGCUACAAAUCACCAUUCUUUUUGCUGUAUGUAGCCUCAAAAAUUGGCAUAUUUUGUCAAAAGGAAAAGAUAAUAUUUUAACUUGUGAUUUCAGUCAGCAAAUAUUUUACCACCUGCUUAACAUGUCACUUUUCAUUUUGGAAUCUCAUAGUUAUCAAUCAUAGGCUGUAUCUUGCUGAUAAAUAGGAGAAUUGAAGCAACACUAGUGUUUUUCACACCCUGAGCUUUUGAUCAAAACAGUGUCAGGAGGAGAUGUACACACAACUCCUGCUUCAACCACUGCUUGCUUGCCUGUGCACAUUAGAGAUGCAGAGGUCUUUACACAGAUCGAAAUUAGAUGUUUAGAACAGCUGUUCACUUCUCUAGAAAGAGUCAUAGGUGCCUUUACAUGUGGCAGGAAGAUGCACAGAAUUCCUUGUUUAUAAUAAAAAGAGUUGCCUUUGCUCUUCCUGUAACUCCAUUUGAGACGUUAUUAGACUUCAUCUUAUGUCAAAAAGAAAGUCUGAAAUGAAAUGAAAUCACCAUAGAACCAUAUGCCACGCUGCUGAGGCACAGCAAAAGUAAGCUAAAUUCACUAUUGCAACUGCCAGAGUGAAUUUGUCUGUUUUUAUUGGUAUAUGACUCAGCUUUAAUAUUUUUCUAAGACAGUUCUUGAUAGUCUUAUUGACAAAUAAAUAACAUUAAUAAGACAGAAGAGUUGGUCACUUCCUUCCAACCACUCUAGUAACAUAUUCUGGGUAUAAAGGGAGGCAAAACAAACCAGAGCAUCCAAGUGUUCUUCUUUCAGAUGGAAUACUCCUAACCUUUUUGCCCUGGACAGAUUUUCUCAUUUGUGAGAAAGCAUUAUUUAGGGAAAAGAGUACAAAAGGAGAAGUACCGAGUUCCUCUCCUAGGUUGAACUAUUGCCUAUGGGGAUCUUCAGUAGCUCUUUCAACAGCCUCACUUUCUUGUCGGAGCACAAAAUACAAAUAAUUUUUUUUCCUAUAACAUGUUCAGAGUAAGGCCUUAUCAAACUUUCAGUGAAGUACCUGGUGAUUCUGGAUGAGAAUAUAAAUUAUUGCUCCCACUCCCAAAAUAGUUUGUUUGGUACCAGAGGAAGAAGUCUCCUGAAGCUUCUGGAAUGAAAUGGGAAAGAAAAAAACAGAGGAAAGGAGAAGAAUUGAUCUGCCCUGAGAUAACAGUUGCACAGAUGUUCUCACAUCUCCUAACCUCACAUUUAUGUGAUGUUGCACAUUGGCAAUAUGAGGUUUUUCUUGUGAGCAGCACCUUUAUUUAUUGCUGCUGAAUUAAUUUUCCCUUAAGAAAUAAAGUUUUUUAACUGCUGGUAUUAUUGUUCUCUUCUCUCCAUUUUCUUACAGCCUUGUACUAAAUCCUGUCACCGCUUCUUUCUCCUGAAGUGAUUCAGGGCACUGUGCUCUGGAUCACAGGGCUGCAAAGUGUCAUUUGGCAUCUUUUAACUGUAACCACAGACAACAAAGGCAGCUGGCUUUGCCAUGACUUCUGGAUUUUGUAGAUGCCUGAAAGCAAGCCCUAAGUGAAAUAUCUGUGACAUUAUGCAUUUGUGAUACCAUUGCAAAUGGGAGCAUUUCCAUUUCUGUAGGCUAAACCCUACUCCCUCCUCCAAGAGCUUGCCAUCAGUCCCAGUUUGCUAUCGCUCCCAUCCUGAGGGUCUGUGUGCAAGCCAGGGAUGUUUAUUAGACAGAGUUAAUUCCUUGCAGACUCCUUCUAAGUGUGUCUGUGACUGACAGAGGCGGGUGCUGUUUGCAAGUGUCAAUGGAGCAUGACCUCGAGUUAAUACACUGAAUGAUGAGAGAAAAGAAGAUUCAUUCAGCAUCUGAACUCUCUGCUGAGAUUAGCCAGAAAUACAGAGCACAUACAAAUCGCUGUUUUGUCAGCACAGUGCUUGGCAGAGUUUUUAAAUAUUUCAGCUAUUCUAAGCCAUCAUCCUCAAGGCCAGGGCAACUAAAAAAAGAGAAUGAUUGAAACAGCAUUUCUGAUCCAAACAUCAUUGUUUUAGAUGUAAAAUUUGGACCUGGAUCUUUAAAGCAAUGCAUGGCAGCCACAGCCCCAGGUUUGAUGUGAACGGGGUUGCAGUAACAUGCACAGAGCUGUUUACAAAACUCAGAGAAGGAACCACAGGAUAUUUAGCUUUUCAGUAGUAGAUGCCUGUUCAACUCCAGCCUGGUGAGGAGAAAAUGCAAGGACCUCCACAGUCUGUCUGUCUACUGGUGCUAAUUGCUUCCAUUUCAGUUGCCUGUGGCCAUAAGUUGGUCUUCCAGAGGCUAUCUCUGCAUCUGGUAUUAGCAGGGGCCACAUAGGCCAUGGUAGGUUACCUUUUCUCCUAUCCAAGCAGUUCUGUCCAGAUCUGAGUCUGUCUGUCUGGGGACACUGUCUCCGUUAGUGUUCAGAUCUUAUCUGUACUUUGCUAAAACAGUUAGAAGGUUGGGGAAAACCCCAGCAGUACUGGGGUUUUUUUGUGAUUUCUUCCCAGCUAUAUAGUUGGUCCUUUCUUAGAAUUUAAAAAACAACAGAGCUGUUAGCAGAGGUAUUGGAAGAAAUACGGUUUCCCUCCCUCCUCUGAGGGAGUUCUGAGUUCUAGCAGUAACUAUUACCAGAGGCAGGAUUGUAGAGAAGAUAUCAAAUCUCUUUCUAUCUGUGCUUCCUAUUGUUGAUUCUGACAACUACAUCCAUUUAGGGUCAGAUUCUAUCGUACAUUGCUGCUUUGAAGCCAGCAGACAAUAAAUGCAGAAUUUAGAGCAUAAUAACUCCAGUACUUUCAGUGCAAAGAAUCCUCUGUUCACCUCUCCUCAUUGCCUGUUUCUCUCCUGCAUGGUUCUCUUGACUUUGUAUCCAACCCUGUGCACAAAAACCUCUGCAUCAUCAAUUUCUCUUGCAGUCCUAACUAAAGGAGCUUCUUCUCUCUAUCUCCAUUGCUACCCAUCAGGCUUUUGAGUCCCUUAAAACAGCAAGACCAAAAGUGAUCCUGUGUUUUCUCAGAAGUGAUCAAACCUAAGAAAAUUAUUAUUACCUUCUCUUCUUGCCCUUCCAUCUAUCUCUUCUCUCACAGCUGCUCCAGGGACACAGACAUACAAAAAAAUCUGCACAAGAGGCAGAAGACAGUAAAUGCCUUCUUUUGUGAAGGCACCAGUAUCUAUCCUGGGGUUGCUGCAGCCCAUUAAACCUAACACAGAGAGAUUUUGGGGUUGCUUUCUGUUAAUAAACUUUGGGGGUUUGUUACUAACCAGCACCAGUAGCUCUUAAGAAAAAGACAGGUUUUGCUGAAGCCUAUUGCUUUUUAAAUAGAGUAAUUUACAAUCAGAUACAGUUUAGAUUACCAAAUUAUUGGCAGCACUUUGGUGCAAUGUCUGGUUUCUUUCCUUCAGUAACCCCCAUCAUCUACUGACCCAACCCAGAGCUGACUGCAGGUGAAAUGGAUAGAAAAAGUACCCCAGCUGAUAUUGGCCAGUUUGUCACUCUCUAUUUGCUUUGUCUCCCUUCAUCUGCUCUGCCAUCCCAAAUGGUUUCUCUCUGGUUAUCACGUGGGUCACUUACUAUGUGAAGGAGUAACAAGAAGAGAAAGAUGAGGCAGCUGUAUUAACAGUUAUGUAUUACACAUUUCUGUGUCAUUGCUUGAAUGAUGUGCUUUUGUCACUCUGUGCUGUUGUGGGCAAGGUCAGUGUCACUUGCUUGCAAGGAUGUGCACACAAGGAAGACUCAUUCUUGACUCUGAAAGGAUGUGUUGGCCAUACUGCCAGUGAACAGCAGAGUUGAGUCAGCAGUGCAAAAUUAUAAUUAAAAAAGAGAAAGAAAGAAAAAAAAAAAAAGAAAAAAAAGGAAAAACAAUACCAGCCAUCAUUUCCUAGAGAGCUCUGGAAGUUUGCUGGAAGCCUCUUUAUAGCCUUGCAAAUGUUGUGAGUGGUAUGCAGGCAGUUGCCACUAAACGGUGCAAAUGGGAGAACUGCAGGAACUCACCAUGUUUCCACAGAGUCAAGAUUGGAAAAUACCCAGAGUCUGACACUCAGACGUGGUAAAUCAGACUUGCCCUGCCACCUCCUGGCCGUACCAGACACCGACUAGAAUUUAACGUGCCAAACAGCCUGCUUGUUUGUUCGUAUCUUACUCGCUUCCUGGUCAGGGGCCUGACCUGAGGUUCGCUGAGGUGACCAAGCUGUGACCUCAGCCUGGAAAGCAUAUGCAGAAUGAAUGGAUAAAGCCUUUGGGACCAUAAAUAUGAAACAAAGGCUUUGCUGUGACCUUCACACAUAUGUUUUAAUACGCAAUGAAAACAUUAGAAUUCUUUCUGUGUCUGUUUCCCAUAGAAAUGUGUAGCUGUAGAGAUUCUCACCUUACAGUGGAGGGGAGAUCACUGCCUCUCCAGGUAUCCCUGAUGUUUCAAUUGUCAGGCCUCAUGCAACCAAACGUUUGGGAAUCUCUGCCUCUUUAUUGCUCUGUAGGGAAGAAAUUCUGUAAGUAUACAAAGAAAGACUACAUACGUGCUUGGUUUUUAAUAUGGAACUAUAAUAUGGAAAAAAGGCUCUUGUUAAUAUUCUUCUUAUUUCUUUCCUAGCUUGCAAUGUCUAGUAAUAUUUCCUACUAAUGUUGGUGUAGGGAUGGAGAUAGAUAUUGACUUUCAUCUCUGUACAGCAUUCUAGCUUUACUGCUCCAUAAACUGCUCCAAGAGAAUAAUAAUAAUAUGAUGUCAUGAUUUAUAAGCCAAAUAUAACUUUUUACAUUUUUAUACAGUUUCAAAUAGUAUUUGCUUUCACAGUUUCAUUUUAUCUGAACUUCCAUUCAAUGGAAAGUUAUAGAAAAUCUCAGGGAAGUUGUAGCCUAAGGACAUAUAACCUUUGGCAAUAUGAGUCCACUAGUAAAGAGGGAAUGAGGGUUUCAGGCUCUUCUUGCUCUUCUUCCAUGUUCAUUAAGGACUCCAAUAGCCCACUGAGGGAAAUAGAAAGAUCUUUCAGAAAAUGUAAACCCAGACAAGAGCAAGAGUGUCUGCAUUUUGAAACCCACAUCACCUUCACUCUGCAGCUGAGUAACAUCAAUUUCAUCUGGUAGGAGCACACUCUUUCCUUGGUUUAUAUGUGUGUGAACGAGUGAUGUAUUUUUAAUGAGAUUUAUUUUCAUGACAGGAACAUCAUUGACAAUUUGCAUUAAAGACAAGCUAAAUGAGCUGUUCAAGAGUAGAACAAGCUUUCUCACAUUUGUUUCCUUUAAUUAAUCCACACAGCAUGGUAAUUUUGGAUUAAGUCCUACCUUAUACCAUCUAUGAGAUCAAAGUCAUCCUUCCAUAAAAUCUUUGAUCACCCUAUUUUCUUCAUGUUAAUCCUUUGAGGACAUAACUCACUGAGAAAACUUAGAAGGGCAUUUGUUUUAAUACUCUAUCACGAAAAUGCAGUAACUUUUUUUCUGUUUUGUCUCAAGUAAAAAGUCAAUUGUUAAAACUUCCAGCUGGACAGAAAUCUGUAUUUCCAGACAGGUUUGCUUUAAGUACCUAGUCAUUUACUGGAAUUACCAAGUCACUUCCCAUGAUAAUUGAAAUGAAAUUAUAUUAUAUGAAACCCUAGUGACCUCCAAAUGGAACUGAAACCUAUUAGGUCUGAAGUACAGAUCUCUACCUCAUGUGCUAAUAAGUAAUUGGUAGCAGUAGAUGUCUGUUAUCAUCCAGAGGGAUCAGUUGCAUGAGGUAAAAACUCAAUCAACAAAUUUGAGGGAUGUAGGGUACAUCCUUCAUCACCAGAUAAUACAGACACUUGCCAACAAAUAAGCAUGGAGGUUCCAGAAAGCCUUGGAUUGUUUCAGUGUUGGAUGAGAAAGAACAGACAUAAAAAUCUGUAUGGAUGCUGGUUCUGCUUUCUCUCUGCUUACACACCUUCCUCACAGCUCCUUCCUCCCUAUAAUAUUAAGUCCAAGCGUCCAGCUUUCACUCCUGCUGGCCCUGCUCCCCACUCCACACCCUGUAGUGCUCCAUGCUCCAGAGGAGAAGGUGCCAGCCCUGGGCUUCAGCAUGGAGCUGCACAGAAGCAGAUGAGCUUGCAGAGAGAAGCUGGAGGGCUGACAUUGCAGAUGUCACAGCCAGGAAUUUAGCUGCCAAGAGAACAAGCUUCUACUGAGGGUGUUCAAAUUAAAAUUAGUCAGAGUUUAUUAUUUGGCCAAGAUAUGAUUUCCUGGAGACAGUGAAAGAAGCUUACUUGAUACCAAAAAUGCCUUUUCUAUGAAGCCUGGAAAAAGUAAGCAUUCCAAGCCACAGUAUUGUAAGAUUUUUAACCAGGCCAAUAUAAUUGCCAUUCUCUAAUUUUUAUGUGUGAUUGAAGAACUUCAGAUAAAAUUUUACAAAGUAAGGCUGACAUAAGCUGCAGGAAAGGAUGACUAGAAAAACAGUGUUAUAAAACAUUUUAGAUACCACUGCCAUGUCAGCCUUCUAUCACAGUACCAAAAAGCACAGUCAUAGCUCAUGGCAGUAAUGGAAACACCCCUUACUAUCAUUCCCAGAGCAGGAAGCUUGGGAGAGGCAUCUUGAACCUCUUUUUUGACUCCAAGAAUCACACUGAAGAAAAGUUAAGGAACAAAGCACGAUUUACACCUUACCCAAAGAAUACAAAGCCUAGGCCUGGACACAGAUUUGGAACAGGUGUUUCUGUUGCUUCCUGUGCUGUGAAGCUGCCAGCACAGCCCUGGUUCUGGUUGUCAGAUGUUCUUCCAGACAAUGCCUGUGCAUGGUUUGGGGACUGACAAAGGCUGCAGAUUAUUCCCAAUUGGCAGUUUGGAUGCAGAUACCUUGUUUUGGAGGCUGCAGGAGUUUAGCUGUGUCUUGCCAGAGUUUACCAGGUGUUUACUAGCUUGUUUACUAGCAGUUUGUUCACAAGUUUGUUUACAAGCAGAGAGAGGUUCAAACAGGCUCAUAACCCCAAAGAAUGACUGUGGUCACCCAAGGAGAUAGUGCACCUGUAGCUUAUUCCCCACUUACUUCCCCUUCCAUUUAUCAUCAAAGAAAUAGGCCAGUGGUGCUCAGCUUGUUAAACCUGUCAAGCCAGACCAUCAAACUUCCUGUUGGGAACAACAGCAUUUAAAAUUGCAUCAAAAGAAUAAGGAGGAAGGUAAUUUUUAUACCCGUAUCAGGAGAUCAAAAAGGCACCAUAUCAAGCAUAUUUUGUCAGGAGAGGAAGCCAAGGAUCAUUACUUGGAGGAUUCAAUGAACGUUGUUAGAAACUGCAUUUUCCUCCACUUCGUUCUUAUCAUGACACCUUGGCAAAGUGCUAAGAACUAUUUCUAAGGAAAAGGUUAUGGAUGCUGGCAGAUAGGAGCAGAUGCGAUCACAAGCUUGAACUUGAAGAAUAUUUUAUGCCAGAUUAAAAAAAAAAAAAAAAAAAAAAAA